Molecule: ribosomal RNA, 394 nt
Filed under: uncultured eukaryote
Lineage: Eukaryota
Description: partial 18S ribosomal RNA
Rfam family: Eukaryotic small subunit ribosomal RNA
Source: RNAcentral
CAAUAGCGUAUAUUAAAGUUGUUGCAGUUAAAAAGCUCGUAGUUGGAUUUCUGAAUUGAAUAUCCGGUCCGCUCGUCUCUGAUGAGUGCGUACUUAUGGAUAUUGGAUUCAUUUUUUGUGAGGACAUUUAUCUGUCAUUAAGUUGAUGGAUUUAUAGACUUGCAUCGUUUACUGUGAAAAAAUUAGAGUGUUUAAAGCAGGCGUUCGCCCAUUUGAAUACAUUAGCAUGGAAUAAUAAGAUGUGACUUUGGUGGUCUAUUUUGUUGGUUUGCACACCAGAGUAAUGAUUAAUAGGGACAGUUGGGGGUAUUCAUAUUUCAACGUCAGAGGUGAAAUUCUUAGAUCGUUGAAAGAUGACCUUAGGCGAAAGCAUUUACCAUGGAUGUUUUCAUUA